AGUGAACGCUGGCGGUAGGCCUAACACAUGCAAGUCGAACGGCAGCACAGGAGAGCUUGCUCUCUGGGUGGCGAGUGGCGGACGGGUGAGGAAUACAUCGGAAUCUGCCCAGUCGUGGGGGAUAACGUAGGGAAACUUACGCUAAUACCGCAUACGACCUUCGGGUGAAAGAGGGGGAUCGCAAGACCUCUCGCGAUUGGAUGAGCCGAUGUCGGAUUAGCUAGUUGGCGGGGUAAUGGCCCACCAAGGCGACGAUCCGUAGCUGGUCUGAGAGGAUGAUCAGCCACACUGGAACUGAGACACGGUCCAGACUCCUACGGGAGGCAGCAGUGGGGAAUAUUGGACAAUGGGCGCAAGCCUGAUCCAGCCAUACCGCGUGGGUGAAGAAGGCCUUCGGGUUGUAAAGCCCUUUUGUUGGGAAAGAAAUCUUUCAGGCUAAUACCCUGGGAGGAUGACGGUACCCAAAGAAUAAGCACCGGCUGACUUCGUG
Molecule: ribosomal RNA, 490 nt
Filed under: uncultured bacterium
Lineage: Bacteria
Description: partial 16S ribosomal RNA
Rfam family: Bacterial small subunit ribosomal RNA
Source: RNAcentral